Molecule: ribosomal RNA, 473 nt
Filed under: uncultured bacterium
Lineage: Bacteria
Description: bacterial SSU rRNA
Rfam family: Bacterial small subunit ribosomal RNA
Source: RNAcentral
CGAUUGGGCGUUUGAUCAUGGCUCAGAACGAACGCUGGCGGCACGCCUAACACAUGCAAGUCGAGCGCCCAGCAAUGGGAGCGGCGGACGAGUGAGUAACACGUGGGAACAUGCCUUUCGGUUCGGCACAACUCAGGGAAACUUGAGCUAAUUCCGGAUGCGCCCGUAAGGGGAAAGAUUUAUCGCCGAAAGAUUGGCCCGCGUAAGAUUAGCUAGUUGGUGAGGUAAUGGCUCACCAAGGCAACGAUCUUUAGCUGGUUUGAGAGAACGACCAGCCACGUUGGGACUGAGACACGGCCCAAACUCCUACGGGAGGCAGCAGUGGGGAAUCUUGGACAAUGGGGGAAACCCUGAUCCAGCGAUGCCGCGUGAGUGAUGAAGGCCUUCGGGUUGUAAAACUCUUUUACCCGGGAAGAUAAUGACUGUACCGGGAGAAUAAGCUCCGGCUAACUUCGUGCCAGCAGCCGCGGUAA